CGCGCACACAUACCCAUACCCCCCACCACCACCACGAAACACCCCUGGAUUCAUUCCCCAGUACCAAACCAAACCAAAUCAAACUAACCAACCAACCAACAACAACAACAAAAAAAAAAACAACAAACACUCAAGUUAGCUCUCCAUUCUCUUCUUAGCUUCCAACAAAGUUACACAUAGUGCAUCAGUCUGUUGUUUUAACUUUUCCUUCCAUUGGGUGGAGGUAACUAGGCUGGUGGGGAAUAGAUCAGAGGGUCUGAGAAGAAAAGGUAAGAAUGCAGUGAGACCUGCAGGAGAGAGUCCAACCUGGGUCACCACUUGGUUUGUCUGUGGUGUUGUCAAGCAAUUGUUCCUCUUGUGGUGUGUUAGUGGUUAUCCAUCCAUUCAUCCAACAUUCAUUUAACAAAUAUUUAGGAGUGUCCACUACAUGGCAGGCACAGUUCCAGGUGCUGGGGAGAUAACAUUGAAAACAAAGUUUUGACCUCAUGGAGCUUAUACUCUGAUUGUAGAAAGCAGACAGUAACAAUACAUGAAGAUAUUAAGAGGGAUUGGCAAGUGCUGUUUAACAUGGAAGAGUAGAGAUCUGAAUGGAGUGAAGGAGAAAGACAUGAGGAUAUCUGGUGAAGAGUAUUCCAAGCAGAAAGGACAAGGGUGAAGGUCUUGAAGCAGAUAUAUUCCAAGAAUUACAAUAAAGUGGCAGGAACCAAUGAAUUAAAGGGAGAGUAAUAAGACAUGAAGUCAAAGUAGCAACAGCACUGGAAGCACAUAG
This 769-nucleotide long non-coding RNA is filed under the name Marmota monax (woodchuck). The record is from RNAcentral. Lineage: Eukaryota; Metazoa; Chordata; Mammalia; Rodentia; Sciuridae.